RNAcentral lists this long non-coding RNA (228 nucleotides) under Carica papaya (papaya). RNAcentral's name for it is "long non-coding RNA (CPAP_LNC012360)". Lineage: Eukaryota; Viridiplantae; Streptophyta; Magnoliopsida; Brassicales; Caricaceae. The record is from RNAcentral.
GAUUAGUGCUGUGUGUGAAGAACUUGAUAGCAAAUAUCAUUUCAUUCGGGGAUUAGGUAUCCAAUUUAGGCACGAUCUAAACUUAAUUAGAAUAUAUAAUACUCAUUAAUGCCCAUGUAAGGACAAUUUGGCAAGACAAUGUGAUAAGACGGUUACUUUCUUUGUUGAUGAAGAAAAUUUAAGCAAAUGAGAAAAUUUAUUGAUGUAAUUUGAUUAUAGGGAUAUCUU